RNAcentral lists this ribosomal RNA (235 nucleotides) under uncultured bacterium. Its description in RNAcentral is "partial 16S ribosomal RNA". It matches the Rfam family "Bacterial small subunit ribosomal RNA", at positions 332 to 564 of the family's 1533-position model. The record is from RNAcentral.
CCGACCUACGGGAGGCAGCAGGGAAUCUUCCACAAUGGACGAAAGUCUGAUGGAGCAACGCCGCGUGAGUGAAGAAGGGUUUCGGCUCGUAAAACUCUGUUGGGAGGGGAGGAAGGUAGAGGUAGUAACUGGCCUUUAUUUGACGGUAAUUACUUAGAAAGUCACGGCUAACUACGUGCCAGCAGCCGCGGUAAUACGUAGGUGGCAAGCGUUUUCCGGAUUUGUUGGGCGUAAA